This 670-nucleotide ribosomal RNA is filed under the name Terebralia palustris. RNAcentral describes it as "SSU rRNA". It matches the Rfam family "Eukaryotic small subunit ribosomal RNA", at positions 28 to 692 of the family's 1831-position model. Lineage: Eukaryota; Metazoa; Mollusca; Gastropoda; Potamididae. The record is from RNAcentral.
AUGCUUGUCUCAAAGAUUAAGCCAUGCAUGUCUAAGUUCACACCCUCGUACGGUGAAACCGCGAAUGGCUCAUUAAAUCAGUCGAGGUUCCUUAGAUGAUCCUUUUCUACUUGGAUAACUGUGGUAAUUCUAGAGCUAAUACAUGCUGUUCCGCUCCGACCCUUCGGGGAAAGAGCGCUUUUAUUAGUUCAAAACCAGUCGGGAUUCGUCUCGUCCUUUGGUGACUCUGGAUAACUUUGUGCCGAUCGCAUGGCCACGAGCCGGCGACACAUCUUUCAAAUGUCUGCCCUAUCAAAUGACGAUGGUCGGUGAUCUGCCUACCAUGUUGGCUACGGGUAGCGGAGAAUCGGGGUUCGAUUCCGGAGAGGGAGCAUGAGAAACGGCUACCACAUCCAAGGAAGGCAGCAGGCGCGCAACUUACCCACUCCUGGCACGGGGAGGUAGUGACGAAAAAUAACAAUACGGAACUCGAAAGAGGCUUCGUAAUUGGAAUGAGUACACUUUAAACCCUUUAACGAGGAUCUAUUGGAGGGCAAGUCUGGUGCCAGCAGCCGCGGUAAUUCCAGCUCCAAUAGCGUAUACUAAAGUUGUUGCGAUUAAAAAGCUCGUAGUUGGAUCUCAGGCAUGGGCGCGCGGUCCGUCUCGCGACGGUUACUGCGUGAAUUGUGUU